GGCCUGGAGGCCCAGCUGAGUGAGCUCCGAUGCGAGAUGGAGGCUCAGAACCAGGAGUACAAGAUGCUGCUUGACAUAAAGACACGGCUGGAGCAGGAGAUCGCUACUUACCGCAGCCUGCUCGAGGGCCAGGAUGCCAAGAUGGCUGGCAUUGCCAUCAGGGAAGCCUACUCCUUCUCUCUCUAGCCUCUUCAGGAGGUGGUGGUAGCAGCAGCAAUUUCCACAUCAAUGUAGAAGAGUCAGUGGAUGGACAGGUGGUUUCUUCCCACAAGAGAGAAAUCUAAGUGUCUAUUGCAGGAGAAACGUCCCUUGCCACUCCCCACUCUCAUCAGGCCAAGUGGAGGACUGGCCAGAGGGCCUGCACAUGCAAACUCCAGUCCCUGCCUUCAGAGAGCUGAAAAGGGUCCCUCGGUCUUUUAUUUCAGGGCUUUGCAUGCGCUCUAUUCCCCCUCUGCCUCUCCCCACCUUCUUUGGAGCAAGGAGAUGCAGCUGUAUUGUGUAACAAGCUCAUUUGUACAGUGUCUGUUCAUGUAAUAAAGAAUUACUUUUCCUUUUGC
RNAcentral lists this long non-coding RNA (557 nucleotides) under Homo sapiens (human). RNAcentral's name for it is "HSALNT0240654". Lineage: Eukaryota; Metazoa; Chordata; Mammalia; Primates; Hominidae. The record is from RNAcentral.